Molecule: ribosomal RNA, 238 nt
Filed under: uncultured bacterium
Lineage: Bacteria
Description: partial 16S ribosomal RNA
Rfam family: Bacterial small subunit ribosomal RNA
Source: RNAcentral
UUGAACGCUGGCGGCAUGCCUUACACAUGCAAGUCGAACGGUAGAGGGGCAACCCUUGAGAGUGGCGAACGGGUGAGUAAUGCAUCGGAACGUGCCCAGUCGUGGGGGAUAACGCAGCGAAAGCUGUGCUAAUACCGCAUGUGAUCUGUGGAUGAAAGCAGGGGACCGCAAGGCCUUGUGCGAUUGGAGCGGCCGAUGUCAGAUUAGCUAGUUGGUAGGGUAAAAGCCUACCAAGGCG